UAAGAGAACACAAAUGCCAGCCCAGA
Molecule: non-coding RNA, 26 nt
Filed under: Mus musculus (house mouse)
Lineage: Eukaryota; Metazoa; Chordata; Mammalia; Rodentia; Muridae
Also listed under: 1 other name
Source: RNAcentral